This 496-nucleotide ribosomal RNA is filed under the name uncultured bacterium. Its description in RNAcentral is "partial 16S ribosomal RNA". It matches the Rfam family "Bacterial small subunit ribosomal RNA", at positions 30 to 523 of the family's 1533-position model. The record is from RNAcentral.
AUUGAACGCUGGCGGAAUGCUUUACACAUGCAAGUCGAACGGUAGAGGGGGCAACCCCUCGAGAGUGGCGAACGGGUGAGUAAUAUAUCGGAACGUGCCCAGUCGUGGGGGAUAACGUAGCGAAAGUUACGCUAAUACCGCAUACGAUCCAAGGAUGAAAGCGGGGGAUCGCAAGACCUCGCGCGAUUGGAGCGGCCGAUAUCAGAUUAGGUAGUUGGUGGGGUAAAGGCUCACCAAGCCGACGAUCUGUAGCUGGUCUGAGAGGACGACCAGCCACACUGGGACUGAGAGACGGCCCAGACUCCUACGGGAGGCAGCAGUGGGGAAUUUUGGACAAUGGGCGAAAGCCUGAUCCAGCCAUGCCGCGUGCAGGAUGAAGGCCUUCGGGUUGUAAACUGCUUUUGUACGGAACGAAAAGGUUUGGCCUAAUAAGUUGAGCUCAUGACGGUACCGUAAGAAUAAGCACCGGCUAACUACGUGCCAGCCGCCGCGGUAA